UGGAAGUAAAAGUCGUAACAAGGUUUCCGUAGGUGAACCUGCGGAAGGAUCAUUGUCGAAUCCUGCACAGCAGAACCACUCGCGAACAAGUAAACAAACUCCAGGCGACGGACAAAUGCUGGGAAACAACACCCAGCACUUGACCGUGGCCUGACACUCGUCGCGGCAUCUGUCGUGGCGAUUAACAAACCCCCGGCGCGAGAAGCGCCAAGGAAUACUUUAACAAGGGCUCGAACCAUCCUCUCCCGUUCGCGGGGAUUAGGGGAAUGGGGACGGCUUCUUUCUAAAUCACAACGACUCUCGGCAACGGAUAUCUCGGCUCUCGCAUCGAUGAAGAACGUAGCGAAAUGCGAUACUUGGUGUGAAUUGCAGAAUCCCGUGAACCAUCGAGUCUUUGAACGCAAGUUGCGCCUGAAGCCAUUAGGCUAAAGGCACGUCUGCCUGGGCGUCACGCAUCGCGUCACCCCAUCCCCAACUCUGGUAGAUGAGGUGGAUUCUGACCUCCUGUGCCUCCAGGCGCAGUUGGUCGAAAUUCGAGUCCGGAGCUCAGGACUUCACGACAAGUGGUGGUUGGAUAACAACUCGCGUCAUGCCGUGUGCCGAACCUCCGUGCCUCCCAAGACCCUAAGGUGCGCGUUUCCCAUGCUCGUUUGUGUGGGAUUCUCGUGCUACGACCGCGACCCCAGGUCAGGCGGGAUUACCCGCUGAAUUUAAGCAUAUCAA
This 723-nucleotide ribosomal RNA is filed under the name Onosma barsczewskii. RNAcentral describes it as "eukaryotic LSU rRNA". The stretch from base 296 to 451 matches the Rfam family "5.8S ribosomal RNA". Lineage: Eukaryota; Viridiplantae; Streptophyta; Magnoliopsida; Boraginales; Boraginaceae. The record is from RNAcentral.